Molecule: non-coding RNA, 474 nt
Organism: Struthio camelus australis
Lineage: Eukaryota; Metazoa; Chordata; Aves; Struthioniformes; Struthionidae
Source: RefSeq, a predicted model, not a curated record
GCCCCAGGGUCACUUGACAGAAGCCAUUUUCAUUCUCAAGGACACAUGCUUUACAACUUCCACUGCGUCAGAGAAGUCCCACUGACUUGGGCCCAGUCACCGACGGAUUGUGUUCUACUGCAGGAAAGGUUUUAAACGCAUUGCUUAUAAUCAUGCAUGGUAGGGUCAACUUCUGGAAACUUGAAAUACGGCAGUUAAGCUUCAGGUUUGGGACAGACUGUUUGCAAAUUCUUUGCCUCCCUCCAUCCCGCCAAGCAUAGGACAUGGGCUUCAUGAUCACUACUCUGGAUGGCUUGCUGUGUGUCAGACCAACAUGUAUGUGAGGGGAGUGGAUGAUCACCUUUCUGGUGGAAAGCAGAACAGAGUUCACAAGUAGUAAGAGCUGGUCAUUGGCCUUUCAUGCAUGAGCAGACAGCAGUUGCUCAUUCUUUGGAUUGGAUUUUGAUAGUUGCAAAUAGAAAUGAAAAUCCUCGA